UGAAAUCUGGCUCUCGGGCCCGAGUUGUAAUUUGUAGAGGAUACUUUUGAUGCGGUGCCUUCCGAGUUCCCUGGAACGGGACGCCAUAGAGGGUGAGAGCCCCGUCUGGUUGGAUGCCAAAUCUCUGUAAAGUUCCUUCGACGAGUCGAGUAGUUUGGGAAUGCUGCUCUAAAUGGGAGGUAUAUGUCUUCUAAAGCUAAAUACCGGCCAGAGACCGAUAGCGCACAAGUAGAGUGAUCGAAAGAUGAAAAGCACUUUGAAAAGAGAGUUAAAAAGUACGUGAAAUUGUUGAAAGGGAAGCGUUUAUGACCAGACUUGGGCUUGGUUAAUCAUCUGGGGUUCUCCCCAGUGCACUUUUCCAGUCCAGGCCAGCAUCAGUUUUCGCCGGGGGAUAAAGACUUCGGGAAUGUGGCUCUCUUCGGGGAGUGUUAUAGCCCGUUGUGUAAUACCCUGGCGGGGACUGAGGUUCGCGCAUCUGCAAGGAU
This 485-nucleotide ribosomal RNA is filed under the name Fusarium verticillioides. RNAcentral's name for it is "eukaryotic LSU rRNA". It matches the Rfam family "Eukaryotic large subunit ribosomal RNA", at positions 116 to 624 of the family's 3401-position model. Lineage: Eukaryota; Fungi; Ascomycota; Sordariomycetes; Hypocreales; Nectriaceae. The record is from RNAcentral.